Molecule: ribosomal RNA, 395 nt
Filed under: uncultured Gram-negative bacterium
Lineage: Bacteria
Description: bacterial SSU rRNA
Rfam family: Bacterial small subunit ribosomal RNA
Source: RNAcentral
ACCUUACCUACCCUUGACAUGUCAAGAAUCUUGCAGAGAUGUGAGAGUGCUCGAAAGAGAACUUGAACACAGGUGCUGCAUGGCCGUCGUCAGCUCGUGUCGUGAGAUGUUGGGUUAAGUCCCGCAACGAGCGCAACCCUUGUCAUUAGUUGCUACGAAAGGGCACUCUAAUGAGACUGCCGGUGACAAACCGGAGGAAGGUGGGGAUGACGUCAGGUCCUCAUGGCCCUUAUGGGUAGGGCUACACACGUCAUACAAUGGCCGGUACAGAGGGUUGCCAACCCGCGAGGGGGAGCCAAUCCCAGAAAACCGGUCGUAGUCCGGAUCGCAGUCUGCAACUCGACUGCGUGAAGUCGGAAUCGCUAGUAAUCGCGGAUCAGCUUGCCGCGGUGAAU